This 535-nucleotide long non-coding RNA is filed under the name Homo sapiens (human). Its description in RNAcentral is "HSALNT0111417". Lineage: Eukaryota; Metazoa; Chordata; Mammalia; Primates; Hominidae. The record is from RNAcentral.
CAUCAGGCAAGGCAAUAUAAUAUUCCAUUUUCUUCACGUGCUCAAAUUUGCUAAGCUAGUUCCUGAUUGUGGGAUACAUGGUUGGGCUCACAUAUUUUCCCACCGAUAGACAAGAGAUUACCAGAAAAGGGGUGAGGAAUCCAGAGAGAAUGUCUGCAUAAGAAGGAGGGUGGAGAUUUCUUACUGAACUAAAGGCUUCAAGAAUUGGCAAAUACCUGCUCAACUUUUGUAUUUCUGAUGACUGGAUGACUCCACCUGGACCCGAGACUCAUGACUCACCCAGUCCUGUGGCCCCACCCAGAAGUGGACUCAGAGCAAGAGGACCAUUUUCCACACCCCAAUGAGUGCAUCCCCAACCAAUCAGCAGCACCUGUUCCCUAGCCCCCUGACCACCAAACUCUCCUUGAGAAACCGUAGCCUCCAAAUUUUCUGGGAGGCUGAUUUGAGUAAUAAUAAAACUUUGGUCUCCUAUGUAGCUGGCUCUAUGUGUAUUAAACUCUUCCUCUAUUGCAAUUCCCCUGCCUUGGUAAGUCGG